Molecule: long non-coding RNA, 4762 nt
Filed under: Oreochromis niloticus (Nile tilapia)
Lineage: Eukaryota; Metazoa; Chordata; Actinopteri; Cichliformes; Cichlidae
Description: lncRNA (ENSONIG00000034571.1)
Source: RNAcentral
AUGAUUUUCUUUCCGUGCCGUCAGCUGACCGAUGCGGUGGCAAACGUGGCUCAUGUCUUGCACUGCGCUGCUCGUAACAACCUGACCAUGACAGAAGCCGUCGUCUUGAAGCUGGUUCUAGAGCUGACUCAGCGUCUGAACUUGCUGAUCAAGGAGCUCUCCACAGCAAACUUCACGCAGUUGGAAUCCGAGUUUAAGCAGAUCUUCAGCGAGUCAAACUCCGCAACUCUGACCCAGGAGCACCUGACGGACCCAGCCUUCAUCCAGCUCUGGUUCAAGGUCAAGCUGCUGCCCCUCCUGCCCAACGUACAGCCAGAGCUCCUCUCCUGCCUCAGCACCAAGAACUUCUCCUGCCCCGUUUACCAAACCCUUGUGGCGGCGCUCAGUGAACGAAUGAACUUUUUGGAUGCUGAUCCGAUGUACAGCAGCAACAUCUACGAGUACUUCAUCUACACCUUCCUGCUAAAUCACAACACCUCGGGUAAGAAGAGGACACAGACAACACAUAUUAACGCACAGAUACUACAAAACCAGUUCUUAUGGCAUUUAUGUUAAUGUUUGUACAAAUGCUUCAGACCCCCAGUGUGUCUCUGCAGCUAAUAACAGCGCAGAAUGGCUGCAACUCAACUUUGGUUUCUUCUCAAGCUUUGCCUCUAUCAUCGACUUCUACACACUCAACUCUUAUUUCACUGGAGUAAGUUUGCAAAACACAGAUGUGCUCAAACAGACUUAACAGAAGCAGAAAUUUGACUAUAUAGUAAUUGUUCUCUCCUCUUCUGCUUUGUGUCCCGCUCAGCUGGAGGCUCUUGACCUCCUGACUCCAAAUCAGACGGUAGAGUUGCUGCUGUUGACUCUCCCAACUCCACCAGAGAAAGACGUUGUCAUCAGCCAAGUGUUUAACUUCCUGACGGAGUCACCUGCAGCCAGGAAGUACCCAGAGGUCCUCAGCGCUUUGGUCAGGCUCGCUGGAAAGGUAAUAGCUUUGGCUGAGAUGUGUAGGUGUUGAGCAUGCUUUAGCCUUCCUCAAAUAUUAAUCAUAAAAUAUGCAAUUUUUCAGAUCAAUCCUUCCUGCGACAUCUACAAACAAAUGUGAGUACCUUCAAAUGGUUUUCUGACACAAUAUGACUUAUGAUUCUUUCCAAACUGUUUUGUUCUUUGUAUGAAUCAGGAAAACUCUCUCACAGCAGACCAUGUUCAAGCUAAGGCUUCACUGCAAUGCAUUAAUGGCUAAAGCUGAACCAUUGCUAUUGCUAUUACUAAAUUCACCCUGAGAAAAACAGAAAGAGAAAGAAAUUAGAUUACACUAUAAAUCACGGCAUUAAUAUAGCUUAUUAACUGGAUUAAUACAGGAUAACGUAGAAAAAUUAAUUACAUCACAGGCAGUCAUUUUUAAUGCAGAUUUAAUUUUAGCUUUUAAUAGUGAACAUCACAAAAACAGAGGAAAAAAAACUGCAGCCAACUUUACAAGGUGACCCAAUUAGUUAGCACCUUGCAACUUACCUCAUAACUUUAUAAGACGUUUGUAAUUUAAACAGGUGAAAACAAACACCAAAGUUAAAAAAAAACAAAAACAGCCAAUUAUGCAUUUUUGGGGCACAUUUUAUAAACAUUUCUUUGUGUUGUAGGCAGACAGCUGAAGGUCUGAUUGGCUCUGUUGGUAGCUCUCUAUAUACUCUUUAUUUACAUAUGUUUUUUGUUUUGUGUUCUUGUGUAUUCCAGCUUCACACAGCUCUAUGCAGCCAUACCAUCUCUGCCUCCAGAAAUGGAACCAGUCACCUGGGCCACUAUAGAAGCCCUGAUAAACAUUGCACCUGUCGGUACGUUUCACUGCCUCACAAACACAAAGUCAAAACAACUGGGUACACAACGUAAUGGCUUAAGCUAGUCCAUAUAACUAGAUCUACACCUGUGCUUUUGCUGAUUGAAUAUUAUUUAUUUUUUGGAUUUGGACAGAGUGCGUGCCGGCGAACUUCAGGGUGAGAUUUUUUUUUUCUAUUCAAUUUAAUUUGAAUUUAAAUCCCAGCAAAUCAUAACAACGGUUGUCUUUUUCUGCUCAUCUCAUAUCUUAAUUUGAAUGCUUUUAAGCUGUGAUUGUCACAACGUGGUGAAUAAUAUUUCAAUCAUUGUUUUAAUUUGUUAAUCCCGUCAUUUACAGUGCCUGGUAAUCCCGCUCAAUGGUAAGACCUUUUUUCGACUGUUGCCAGCAUAAACACUUUUCUUAAUACAUUCUGUUUGUAUGAUUUCUUUCUGAAAAAAAAAUCUUUUCUGUUUUUUGACAGAAACUCACAGCUGUGCAGGAGUCAACAGGUAACCCUUCGUAUAGGAUUUACAUAGUAAAUAAUGCUAUUGCAGUUGUUGUUAUUCUGACAUGUAUUUCCUGUCUUGUGUGACCCACAGCUCUGAUCUGCUGUCUUACUUGGACACCUUUAAUCAAGUUUCCUGCAACUUCCCCUUGGAGGAAUAUGCCUGUGCACAGGUAAUGAUUUACUCUAACAGAGCCGGUGAGGACUCAUUACUGUUUAUUGCAGAGAAUAACUACAUCUCCUCUGUCUCUUUCACACAUCCAGCUGGACAACUUCACAGCCAAUCACCUGGCGUCUCUUCUGAUGUGUAAUCUUCCUGGGAACAGCGCCCACUCCAAAACUCUGUGGAAAAUCCUGCUCACGAAAGUCUCUGACGUUUUAAACCCAGCCCUGGACAUCCUGGCUAACAUGGUUAAUGACUUUAAUAAGCUUUAACAAACAAAUAAGAAUCAUUCAAACACCGAGACGAAUUGUGACUAUGGGAAAAGUUAAUCUGCCUUUAAAAUAACUGAAUGAUCUCUUGUUUAGCCGAUGCCUGUGAUUCCAUCAGCGUCACAGGUUUUGGAUGUGAUCGGAGAGAUCAGAGUGUUGCUGCUGACAGAUGAGCAGCUGCAGAACAGCGAAGUUAUCAACUUGUGGUUCUCAGACCGCCUGAGGAGCUUCUUGCCGUAUGCAUCAGGAAUGUUUUUGCGCUGUCUGAGCAGCAGAAACCUCACCUGUCAGUCAUACCAGGAAAUGUGAGUAUUUGUCAGAAUUGCUGCUGAACCAGCCCAACACUCAUUUUCAUUUCCUGAUUCAUAAAAGCUAUAUCAUAGGGCAUGGCAGAGAGAAUUAAUCUGCGAACGUUCACAGUUUUACUUACUGUGAAAUCCCAGUUAAGUGUUAGUUUGCUAUUUUUUCACAUUUAAGAUGAGUAAUUACAUAAGAAACCAGUGGGAAAUGUAAGGAAGCGACAACAAUGAUUCAUUAUCAGAUCAGAAUAAAUUUAUAUAGUGGUAUAGUCUCCAUCUUUCUAACUCUGUGGACAGAUUUCACCGCACCAAAACAUUCAUUGUACAUUACUAUAGCAAUCACUGUUUAAAUAACAUUCAUCUGGCAUGCUUUAGACACAUAACAGACCGAUCGACGAUCAACCGUUUGUCCCAUUAAAAGCAGUCACAAUAAUGGAAUAAUGUCACAGUUGAGACCUUGAAGAUUAUGUGAAUCAUUGAUUGAAGACGAGGCUGAAAAGACUCUAAAUGGGAUAUAUUACAAUUACUAUAUAGACAAUAUCUAAAAUUCCAGAUAAAAAUAUAAUGCACAGUCAAGGAGUGUUUGUAAAGCUACAUUUCAAUGACCUAAAAAGCCAGUUAGAUGUGGCCAAAACCCAUCGGAAAAGAUGUGGUUAAUAAAAUACCCAUGCAGGUAUGGACAUGAAGGAAAGCUGAUGGGAGUGAGAUGAAAACAGUCCAGAAAAUCACAAACAAAUCAGUAAAGCUGUCACAUGGCAUGAAAGAAAACCAACCUUCGCAGUAACAACAAGAACCAGAAGACAAGUAGGACAGGAAGUGUAGAAGGCACGCAGACGAGACACGGGCUAGGAGACACGGGCUAGGAGACACUCAGGCGAACAGAGAAAUAAUAAAAUCAAGAGUUGAAAUACAACAAUAUAGUAAAAACUGAAAUAUAUUAAACAGAAAGCCAAAAAACUCAAGCACAAAAAUUAAAAACUUCAACAGCACCAAAGCAGCAACAAAAUCCAAACAGCAUCAAAAUACAGCAUAAAAAAUGAACAAGUAAAUGAAUAACUUCCAAGAAUCAAAAGCAACACUAAACACAGGAGCACAGACAUAGAGCGCAGCUCAAGUUUACACAACACUCACACACACAGACAACGACCACAGAUGAGAUAAAAGUUAAGCUUUUUUGGCAAAAACCCCACAAAUUUACGCAACAACAAAAAACAAACAAACAACAAAACCUCAUCAUGACUAUGAAGCACGGUGGAGGGAGCAUCAUGGAUUACGGCUCACUCAGGCUCUCCAGUCAUGAAUGGGACAAUGAAUUCAACAGUGAAACUAUCAGGGCCUGAAGCUGAGAGGCUGAGUAAGUCUAAGCACAAAAAAUAAUCUCUAGAAACUGUUAAAAAAAAAAAUCCCAGCCUGCGCCGCUCGUGGUUACUCUGUGUUCAGCUCACUGUAACUGUUGGUUAAGUCAAAAAUCCUCCAAAGGGUUCUCUGUUAUUUCCAUGCAGUACAACUAUAAAUUUGUUUUUUCAAUUACAAAUUGUUAUUGGUUAGUUAGUUCUCUUCUUUUUUUCUUUUUUUUUUUGCCCAUGAUUUCAUUUUCAGACUGCAGACGUUUAUCGGCCAGUUUAACCAGAUGACCUCAAACCAGCAGCAGUUGGUCUUGCAGGAUUUCAUACUGCAGUUCCUGACGCAGCCACGCUCAGGUACGCACAUGCUUCGUAUUUCCAUUCA